Molecule: non-coding RNA, 115 nt
Organism: Triticum aestivum (bread wheat)
Lineage: Eukaryota; Viridiplantae; Streptophyta; Magnoliopsida; Poales; Poaceae
Source: Rfam
UAUAUACUCCUUCCGUUCCGAAUUACUUGUCUCAGUUAUGGAUAUAUCUAGAUAUAUUUUAGUUUUAGAUACAUCCAUUUCUGUGACGAAUAAUUUGGAACGGAGGGAGUACGAC